GACGAACGCUGGCGGCGUGCUUAACACAUGCAAGUCGAACGGAAAGGCCCUGCUUUUGUGGGGUGCUCGAGUGGCGAACGGGUGAGUAACACGUGAGUAACCUGCCCUUGACUUUGGGAUAACUUCAGGAAACUGGGGCUAAUACCGGAUAGGAGCUCCUGCUGCAUGGUGGGGGUUGGAAAGUUUCGGCGGUUGGGGAUGGACUCGCGGCUUAUCAGCUUGUUGGUGGGGUAGUGGCUUACCAAGGCUUUGACGGGUAGCCGGCCUGAGAGGGUGACCGGCCACAUUGGGACUGAGAUACGGCCCAGACUCCUGCGGGAGGCAGCAGUGGGGAAUAUUGCACAAUGGGCGGAAGCCUGAUGCAGCAACGCCGCGUGCGGGAUGACGGCCUUCGGGUUGUAAACCGCUUUCGCCUGUGGCGAAGCGUGAGUGACGGUAAUGGGUAAAGAAGCACCGGCUAACUACGUG
RNAcentral lists this ribosomal RNA (468 nucleotides) under uncultured bacterium. RNAcentral describes it as "partial 16S ribosomal RNA". It matches the Rfam family "Bacterial small subunit ribosomal RNA", at positions 28 to 507 of the family's 1533-position model. The record is from RNAcentral.